UGUUACUUGGUGUAGUGGUUUGAGCAUACGACUAGGACUCUGGGGAUCAGGGUUCGAAUCCCAGCUCAGCCA
Molecule: non-coding RNA, 72 nt
Organism: Phrynosoma platyrhinos (Desert horned lizard)
Lineage: Eukaryota; Metazoa; Chordata; Lepidosauria; Squamata; Phrynosomatidae
Source: the annotation of a GenBank genome assembly